RNAcentral lists this ribosomal RNA (402 nucleotides) under Bacteroidota bacterium. Its description in RNAcentral is "Bacteroidetes bacterium partial 16S ribosomal RNA". It matches the Rfam family "Bacterial small subunit ribosomal RNA", at positions 355 to 776 of the family's 1533-position model. The record is from RNAcentral. Lineage: Bacteria; Pseudomonadati; Bacteroidota.
UAGGGAAUUUUGCACAAUGGGGGAAACCCUGAUGCAGCGACGCCGCGUGAUUUAGAAGGCCUUCGGGUUGUAAAAAUCUUUUGUAUAGGAAGAAAAUGACAGUACUAUACGAAUAAGGACCGGCUAAUUACGUGCCAGCAGCCGCGGUAAUACGUAAGGUCCGAGCGUUGUCCGGAAUCAUUGGGCGUAAAGGGUACGUAGGCGGGUAAGCAAGUUAGAAGUGAAAUCCUAUAGCUCAACUAUAGUAAGCUUUUAAAACUGCUCAUCUUGAGGUAUGGAAGGGAAAGUGGAAUUCCUAGUGUAGCGGUGAAAUGCGCAGAUAUUAGGAGGAAUACCGGUGGCGAAGGCGACUUUCUGGCCAUAACCUGACGCUGAGGUACGAAAGCGUGGGUAGCAAACAGG